UCUCCGUAGGUGAACCUGCGGAGGGAUCAUUACAGAGUUCUCGCCCUCGCGGGUAGAUCUCCCACCCACUGUUAUCGUUACUGUGUUGCUUUGGCGGGCCGCCGGGCCCCGCUCGGCCGCCGGCUCCGGCUGGCGCGCGCCCGCCAGAGGCCCAGCAAACUCUGAAUGUUAGCGUCGUCUGAGUACUAUAUAAUAGUUAAAACUUUCAACAACGGAUCUCUUGGUUCUG
RNAcentral lists this unclassified non-coding RNA (229 nucleotides) under plant metagenome. Its description in RNAcentral is "partial contains small subunit ribosomal RNA, internal transcribed spacer 1, and 5.8S ribosomal RNA". The record is from RNAcentral.